This 545-nucleotide ribosomal RNA is filed under the name uncultured bacterium. RNAcentral's name for it is "bacterial SSU rRNA". It matches the Rfam family "Bacterial small subunit ribosomal RNA", at positions 355 to 896 of the family's 1533-position model. The record is from RNAcentral.
UGGGGAAUUUUGCGCAAUGGGCGAAAGCCUGACGCAGCGACGCCGCGUGAGGGAUGAAGGUCCUAGGAUUGUAAACCUCUGUCAGGAAGCAUUAAAUGCGCGGUUAUCAACACCAGCCGCGCUUGACUCAACUUCCAGAGGAAGCCCCGGCUAACUACGUGCCAGCAGCCGCGGUAAUACGUAGGGGGCAAGCGUUACUCGGAUUUAUUGGGCGUAAAGAGAAUUCAGGCGGUCAUGUAAGUCAGUGGUGAAAUACCUCGGCUCAACUGAGGAAUUGCCUUUGAUACUGCGUGACUUGAGGACAGGAGAGGAAGGCGGGAUUCCCGGUGUAGCGGUGGAAUGCGUAGAUAUCGGGAGGAACACCUGAGGCGAAGGCGGCUUCCUGGACUGGUCCUGACGCUGAUAUUCGAAAGCUAGGGGAGCAAACAGGAUUAGAUACCCUGGUAGUCCUAGCUGUAAACGAUGGAUACUAGAUCUCGCAUGAUUUUGCUUGGUCGAAGCUAACGCGUUAAGUAUCCCGCCUGGGGAGUACGGUCGCAAGGCUG